AUUGAACGCUGGCGGCAGGCCUAACACAUGCAAGUCGGACGGUAGCACAGAGAGCUUGCUCUCGGGUGACGAGUGGCGGACGGGUGAGUAAUGUCUGGGAAACUGCCCGAUGGAGGGGGAUAACUACUGGAAACGGUAGCUAAUACCGCAUAACGUCUCCGGACCAAAGUGGGGGACCUUCGGGCCUCACACCAUCGGAUGUGCCCAGAUGGGAUUAGCUAGUAGGUGGGGUAAUGGCUCACCUAGGCGACGAUCCCUAGCUGGUCUGAGAGGAUGACCAGCCACACUGGAACUGAGACACGGUCCAGACUCCUACGGGAGGCAGCAGUGGGGAAUAUUGCACAAUGGGCGCAAGCCUGAUGCAGCCAUGCCGCGUGUAUGAAGAAGGCCUUCGGGUUGUAAAGUACUUUCAGCGGGGAGGAAGGCGAUGGAGUUAAUAGCUUCAUCGAUUGACGUUACCCGCAGAAGAAGCACCGGCUAACUCCGUGCCAGCAGCCGCGGUAA
Molecule: ribosomal RNA, 504 nt
Filed under: uncultured bacterium
Lineage: Bacteria
Description: partial 16S ribosomal RNA
Rfam family: Bacterial small subunit ribosomal RNA
Source: RNAcentral